This 497-nucleotide ribosomal RNA is filed under the name uncultured bacterium. RNAcentral's name for it is "partial 16S ribosomal RNA". It matches the Rfam family "Bacterial small subunit ribosomal RNA", at positions 28 to 507 of the family's 1533-position model. The record is from RNAcentral.
GAUGAACGCUGGCGGCGUGCCUAAUACAUGCAAGUCGAGCGAACAGACGAGGAGCUUGCUCCUUUGACGUUAGCGGCGGACGGGUGAGUAACACGUAGGUAACCUACCUAUAAGACUGGGAUAACUUCGGGAAACCGGAGCUAAUACCGGAUAAUAUUUCGAACCGCAUGCUUCGAUAGUGAAAGAUGGCUUUGCUAUCACUUAUAGAUGGACCUGCGCCGUAUUAGCUAGUUGGUAAGGUAACGGCUUACCAAGGCAACGAUACGUAGCCGACCUGAGAGGGUGAUCGGCCACACUGGAACUGAGACACGGUCCAGACUCCUACGGGAGGCAGCAGUAGGGAAUCUUCCGCAAUGGGCGAAAGCCUGACGGAGCAACGCCGCGUGAGUGAUGAAGGUCUUCUGAUCGUAAAACUCUGUUAUUAGGGAAGAACAAACGUGUAAGUAACUGUGCACGUCUUGACGGUACCUAAUCAGAAAGCCACGGCUAACUACGUG